GCAGUCGAACGAACUCUGGUAUUGAUUGGUGCUUGCAUCAUGAUUUACAUUUGAGUGAGUGGCGAACUGGUGAGUAACACGUGGGAAACCUGCCCAGAAGCGGGGGAUAACACCUGGAAACAGAUGCUAAUACCGCAUAACAACUUGGACCGCAUGGUCCGAGUUUGAAAGAUGGCUUCGGCUAUCACUUUUGGAUGGUCCCGCGGCGUAUUAGCUAGAUGGUGGGGUAACGGCUCACCAUGGCAAUGAUACGUAGCCGACCUGAGAGGGUAAUCGGCCACAUUGGGACUGAGACACGGCCCAAACUCCUACGGGAGGCAGCAGUAGGGAAUCUUCCACAAUGGACGAAAGUCUGAUGGAGCAACGCCGCGUGAGUGAAGAAGGGUUUCGGCUCGUAAAACUCUGUUGUUAAAGAAGAACAUAUCUGAGAGUAACUGUUCAGGUAUUGACGGUAUUUAACCAGAAAGCCACGGCUAACUACGUGCCAGCAGCCGCGGUAAUACGUAGGUGGCAAGCGUUGUCCGGAUUUAUUGGGCGUAAAGCGAGCGCAGGCGGUUUUUUAAGUCUGAUGUGAAAGCCUUCGGCUCAACCGAAGAAGUGCAUCGGAAACUGGGAAACUUGAGUGCAGAAGAGGACAGUGGAACUCCAUGUGUAGCGGUGAAAUGCGUAGAUAUAUGGAAGAACACCAGUGGCGAAGGCGGCUGUCUGGUCUGUAACUGACGCUGAGGCUCGAAAGUAUGGGUAGCAAACAGGAUUAGAUACCCUGGUAGUCCAUACCGUAAACGAUGAAUGCUAAGUGUUGGAGGGUUUCCGCCCUUCAGUGCUGCAG
This 829-nucleotide ribosomal RNA is filed under the name Lactiplantibacillus plantarum. RNAcentral describes it as "bacterial SSU rRNA". It matches the Rfam family "Bacterial small subunit ribosomal RNA", at positions 57 to 851 of the family's 1533-position model. The record is from RNAcentral. Lineage: Bacteria; Bacillati; Bacillota; Bacilli; Lactobacillales; Lactobacillaceae.